Molecule: transfer RNA, 19 nt
Filed under: Lacerta agilis agilis
Lineage: Eukaryota; Metazoa; Chordata; Lepidosauria; Squamata; Lacertidae
Description: partial tRNA-Glu
Source: RNAcentral
CAACUACUAAAAUUAACCA